UACGGGGGGGGCAAGCGUUGUUCGGAAUUACUGGGCGUAAAGGGCUCGUAGGCGGCCAACUAAGUCGGACGUGAAAUCCCUCGGCUUAACCGAGGAACUGCCGUCCAAACUGCUUCGCUUGAGACCGGGAGAGGUGAGUGGAAUUCCCAGUGUAGCGGUGAAAUGCGUAGAUAUUGGGAGGACCACCAGUGGCGAAGGCGGCUCACUGGACCGGUACUGACGCUGAUGCGCGAAAGCGUGGGGAGCAAACGGG
This 253-nucleotide ribosomal RNA is filed under the name uncultured bacterium. RNAcentral's name for it is "partial 16S ribosomal RNA". It matches the Rfam family "Bacterial small subunit ribosomal RNA", at positions 524 to 776 of the family's 1533-position model. The record is from RNAcentral.